AAAACCAUUUUAUUUGAAUAAUAAUAAAUAAUUCUUAUUUUCGUGGUAUAUUUACUAUAUUAUUUUCCUAAAUAUAUUGUAUUUGAUAAAUAAGAAAUCAACUAUAACAAAGCAAUUAAAACAAUUACAUUUAUUUAAUAAUUUAAAAAUGACAUAAAAGAAUAUAACAUAGUGACUACUAACAGCUGCUACCAAGCACAUAGAAAAGCGCCAAGAAGCUGCGACAUUAGCGCACCCCAUUUUUAGCGCGGAACUAAUUGAAAAUUAUAGAAUACCUAUAAUUGUUAUCCCGCGUAAAGACAAUAAAUAGCCGAUCAGUUUUCGAAAAAAUAUUCUUAAAUUACCUGUGCUUUUCUUUUUUUUACAAUAGGUUGUUUUUUUAUUCCUAAGAGUUCAGAUUCAUCACUAGUAAAGAUGGCAGAUCUGGAAUGACGUAACUAUGAAAGAUUUAUUUUAGAGAAAAAUUUGCAAAAGAAAUUAUGACAAAUGUUUACCGAAAUAUUCAAAUUCCUCUUUGAGAGCCAUCCCAUUGUGAGACUCACAAUUUCGACACACUAAUGCAUAUCGAUUCGAUGGACCAUCUCCAACAAGAUAAUCAAUCAAUCGAUCCAAAUAAGUCCUUUGCCGCGCUAAUACUGGACGUGGUAACGGAGUUCCUAUCCUAAAAAUACUAACGAUAAUCACGAAUUGGAGUAUUAACUGGUCUAAUACCACCCUGGAAGGAAGUAUUUAAUGGAUUCUGAGUGGGAGCUAUGCCAACUGGGACAAGACCAGUGUUAGCAGGUAUACCACUAUGCACAUUCAGUGGUUGAUUUUGAUUUAUUAUUACACGUCUUCUCAGUUCCGUAGAAGGUGAUGCUGGAGAUAUUAUGUGCUGUGGUGUACUUGAUCGUUUAGGAGUUUCUGUUGAUGAUGAUGCUUUAAAAGUUGUCUAAAAUGAAAGAAUCUUUUACUAGACUUUUUAUCUUCUAUAUAUUCAAAUGUUUCUCUAGUACUUUCUUAUCCAAGAAGAUACUCAUAAUUAUCAAAAAUUCAUUCUUGAUAUAUUUUAUCAUGUAAAAUACAAACCUGCGGGGACAACUGAAAAAUGGAAAAAUAAUUCAAUUAUUAAAAAUUUCUAAAGAUUAUAUUAUGUAACUAAAAUAAAGAAAUUAUAUUAUAGAUUUACUUACUGGAGUCAUUCUUAAUUGAUCAGGUGCAAACUUUAACAGAAUUUCUUUAGCUUUUUUAUAUGUUUCAGUCUCUGUAACUUCAUCUAGAAUUUUCUUUUUUUCAGAUUGCAUACUACUUAAUCUAUCUUGAUUUUUAGAAAUUUUACAUUUAUAAUACCACGUUACCAUCUUUUUUGUAAGCAAUAUGCUGCGACAAUGAAGUACAUUUUGUCAUACAUCUUGAAUAAUUUUUUAAAGGAAAUAAAUACAAUUAAAAUACU
Long non-coding RNA from Bombus terrestris (buff-tailed bumblebee), 1432 nucleotides. RefSeq lists it as uncharacterized. NCBI's taxonomy places the organism in Eukaryota, Metazoa, Arthropoda, Insecta, Hymenoptera, Apidae. The record is from RefSeq and is a predicted model, not a curated record. The transcript has 3 exons.